Molecule: ribosomal RNA, 433 nt
Filed under: uncultured Lachnospiraceae bacterium
Lineage: Bacteria; Bacillati; Bacillota; Clostridia; Lachnospirales; Lachnospiraceae
Description: partial 16S ribosomal RNA
Rfam family: Bacterial small subunit ribosomal RNA
Source: RNAcentral
ACGGAAGGCAGCAGUGGGGAAUAUUGCACAAUGGGCGAAAGCCUGAUGCAGCGACGCCGCGUGAGUGAAGAAGUAUUUCGGUAUGUAAAGCUCUAUCAGCAGGGAAGAAAAUGACGGUACCUGACUAAGAAGCUCCGGCUAAAUACGUGCCAGCAGCCGCGGUAAUACGUAUGGAGCAAGCGUUAUCCGGAUUUACUGGGUGUAAAGGGAGCGUAGACGGUGUGUAAGUCUGAAGUGAAAGCUCGAGGCUCAACUUCGGAAUUGCUUUGGAAACUAUCAUACUAGAGUGCAGGAGAGGCAAGUGGAAUUCCUAGUGUAGCGGUGGAAUGCGUAGAUAUUAGGAGGAACACCAGUGGCGAAGGCGGCUUGCUGGACUGUAACUGACGUUGAGGCUCGAAAGCGUGGGGAGCAAACAGGAUUAGAUACCCUGGUA